Molecule: ribosomal RNA, 1878 nt
Filed under: Triticum aestivum (bread wheat)
Lineage: Eukaryota; Viridiplantae; Streptophyta; Magnoliopsida; Poales; Poaceae
Description: partial small subunit ribosomal RNA
Source: RNAcentral
AUGAAGGGCGCCGACCUGAUAAACGUGGCCCUUCCGGAGGAGCUCCUGGAGGACGUGCUCCGACGUGUCGGCGGCGAAAAGCGCGACCUGGACGCCUGCGCCCUCGUCUGCCGCCGCUGGCGCCGCCUCGACCGCGCCACGCGCAGGUCCGCCAAGCUCCCAGCAUCCGGGGUUCACGCGGACGAGGUGGUAGGCCUCUUCGUGGAACGGUUCCCGGCGCUCGCAGACGUCUCCAUUGACGAGCGCCUCUCUGCCGACGCCGCCGUGGUCUCCGCUCCUGCGUCUAGAUCGCGCCGCCACGUGAUUAGCAGUAUCCCAUCUGGUAGCCGUAGGAGGAUGUCCCCGGUGCCACGUUUUGCAGGGAUUUUAUUCCCAUUGCCAUCGGAACAGACACCCAGCGCUGAUGGGAUAGAGAGCUUUUGUUUGACUGAUGUUGGCUUAACUAGUCUCGCCAGAGGCUGCAAAGGGCUGGAAAAACUAAGUCUAGUAUGGUGUUCUGCCAUAUCUUCAACAGGCUUAGUGAGAGUAGCAGAGAACUGUAAGAAAUUGGCUUCUUUGGAUAUCCAGGCUUGCUAUAUUGGAGAUCCAGGACUAGUUGCUAUUGGGGAAGGCUGCAAUCUACUUAACAAUUUGAGCUUGCGCUUUGUUGAAGGCGCAACAGAUGAAGGCUUGAUUGGAUUAAUAAAGAGCUGUGGACAGUCACUGCUCUCUCUUGGUAUUGCUAAUUGUGCUUGGAUGACUGAUGCAUCUUUGCGUGCUGUUGGAUCCCACUGUCCUAACCUUGAAAUCCUGUCACUGGAAUCAGAACUUGUUAAGAAUGAAGGAGUGAUUUCUAUUGCUAAAGGAUGUCGCUUGUUGAAAAAUUUGAAGCUGCAAUGUAUUGGUGCUGGCGAUGAGGCCCUAGAAGCUAUUGGUUCAUGCUGUUCGUUACUAGAAAUUUUAUCGCUAAAUAACUUUGAAAGAUUCACAGACAGGAGCCUUUCUUCCAUCGCGAAAGGGUGCAAGAAUCUUACAGAUCUUGUUCUCAAUGAUUGCCUGUUACUAACUGAUAGAAGCCUUGAAUUCGUAGCACGCAGCUGCAAAAAAAUAGCACGUCUUAAGAUCAAUGGUUGUCAGAAUAUGGAAACUGCUGCACUGGAGCACAUUGGACGAUGGUGCCCGGGCCUUCUGGAACUCUCUCUAAUUUACUGCCCAAGGGUCCGGGAUACUGCAUUUCUGGAGCUUGGUAAAGGCUGCACCCUUCUCCAGUCUCUUUAUUUAGUUGACUGUUCAAGGAUAGGUGAUGAUGCUAUGUGCCACAUAGCUCAAGGUUGUAAGUACUUGAAAGAAAUUUCCAUUCGACGUGGUUAUGAGGUAGGAGACAAAGCAUUGAUAUCAAUUGCUGAGAAUUGUAAAUCACUUAAGGAGUUAACGCUCCAAUUUUGUGAGAGGGUAUCUGAUACAGGGCUGGCUGCAAUUGCUGAAGGUUGCUCUCUUCAAAAGUUAAACUUGUGCGGGUGCCAAUUAAUCACUGAUAAUGGACUGGCUGCCAUUGCGAGAGGAUGUGGUGAUCUUGUCUUUCUGGACAUAAGUGUUCUGCCGAUGACAGGGGACAUGGGGCUGGCAGAGAUUGGCCAAGGCUGCCCCCAGAUUAAAGACAUUGCACUCUCGCACUGCCCAGGGGUCACCGAUGUUGGUCUGGGACACCUGGUCAGGGGGUGCUUACAGCUGCAGUCAUGCCAGCUGGUGUACUGCAAGCGAGUGACCAGCACCGGAGUGGCGAUCGUCGUCUCGAGCUGCUCUAGGUUGAAGAAGCUCCUCGUUGAGGAGGCAAAGGUCAGUGAGAGGACACGUCGGAGGGCAGGACCCAUCUUAUCAUUCCUCUGCUCUGGGCUUUAG